Molecule: transfer RNA, 68 nt
Filed under: Marmota monax (woodchuck)
Lineage: Eukaryota; Metazoa; Chordata; Mammalia; Rodentia; Sciuridae
Description: tRNA.Ala
Rfam family: tRNA
About the family: Transfer RNA (tRNA) molecules are approximately 80 nucleotides in length. Their secondary structure includes four short double-helical elements and three loops (D, anti-codon, and T loops). Further hydrogen bonds mediate the characteristic L-shaped molecular structure. tRNAs have two regions of fundamental functional importance: the anti-codon, which is responsible for specific mRNA codon recognition, and the 3' end, to which the tRNAs corresponding amino acid is attached (by aminoacyl-tRNA synthetases). tRNAs cope with the degeneracy of the genetic code in two manners: having more than one tRNA (with a specific anti-codon) for a particular amino acid; and 'wobble' base-pairing, i.e. permitting non-standard base-pairing at the 3rd anti-codon position.
Source: RNAcentral
GGAUGUAGCUCAGUGGUAGAGCUUGGCUUAGCAUGCUUGAGGCCCUGGGUUCAAUCCCCAGCACUCCA